GGUUCCAACUGCCCGUACCCUAAACCGACACAGGUGGACUGGUAGAGCAUACCAAGGCGCUUGAGAGAACGAUGCUGAAGGAACUAGGCAAAUUGCUCGCGUAACUUCGGGAUAAGCGAGACCCUUCCUUGGGCAACCAGGGUGGGGUGACACAAACCAGGGGGUGGCGACUGUUUAGUAAAAACACAGG
RNAcentral lists this ribosomal RNA (190 nucleotides) under Thraustochytrium sp. LLF1b. RNAcentral describes it as "partial Bacterial large subunit ribosomal RNA". It matches the Rfam family "Bacterial large subunit ribosomal RNA", at positions 1630 to 1819 of the family's 2925-position model. Lineage: Eukaryota; Bigyra; Thraustochytrida; Thraustochytriidae. The record is from RNAcentral.